UCCAUAGCGUAUAUUAAAGUUGUUGCAGUUAAAAAGCUCGUAGUUGAAUUUCGGGAUUAAUAGGUUGGUCAUGCCCUCGGUAUGUACUGAUUUCAUUGGUUCUCACCUUCUAAGGAAUCAUAAUGUCAUUCGUUUGAUGUUGUGGGGAAUUAGGACUGUUACCUUGAAAAAAUUAGAGUGUUUAAAGCAGGCUAACGCUUGAAUACAUUAGCAUGGAAUAAUGAAAUAGGACAUCCGAUUCUAUUUUGUUGGUUUCUAGGAUCGAUGUAAUGAUUAAUAGGGAUAGUUGGGGGCAUUAGUAUUCAAUUGUCAGAGGUGAAAUUCUUGGAUUUAUUGAAGACUAACUACUGCGAAAGCAUUUGUCAAGGAUGUUUUCAUUAAUCAAGAACAAAAGUUAGGAGAUCGAAGACGAUCAGAUACUGUCGUAGUCUUAACCAUAAACUAUGCCGACUAGGGAUCAGAUGAUGCUUAUUUUUUAAUAACUCAUUCGGCACCUUACG
Molecule: ribosomal RNA, 500 nt
Filed under: uncultured Glomeromycotina
Lineage: Eukaryota; Fungi; Glomeromycota
Description: partial small subunit ribosomal RNA
Rfam family: Eukaryotic small subunit ribosomal RNA
Source: RNAcentral